GACGUAGGGCGCGAGCGUUGUCCGGAUUUAUUGGGCGUAAAGAGCUCGUAGGCGGCUUGUCGCGUCGACCGUGAAAACUUGGGGCUUAACCCUGAGCUUGCGGUCGAUACGGGCAUGACUGGAGUUCGGCAGGGGAGACUGGAAUUCCUGGUGUAGCGGUGAAAUGCGCAGAUAUCAGGAGGAACACCGGUGGCGAAGGCGGGUCUCUGGGCCGAUACUGACGCUGAGGAGCGAAAGCGUGGGGAGCGAACAGG
RNAcentral lists this ribosomal RNA (254 nucleotides) under uncultured bacterium. Its description in RNAcentral is "partial 16S ribosomal RNA". It matches the Rfam family "Bacterial small subunit ribosomal RNA", at positions 524 to 776 of the family's 1533-position model. The record is from RNAcentral.